Molecule: ribosomal RNA, 497 nt
Filed under: uncultured bacterium
Lineage: Bacteria
Description: partial 16S ribosomal RNA
Rfam family: Bacterial small subunit ribosomal RNA
Source: RNAcentral
GAUGAACGCUGGCGGCGUGCCUAAUACAUGCAAGUCGAGCGAACGGACGAGAAGCUUGCUUCUCUGAUGUUAGCGGCGGACGGGUGAGUAACACGUGGAUAACCUACCUAUAAGACUGGGAUAACUUCGGGAAACCGGAGCUAAUACCGGAUAAUAUUUUGAACCGCAUGGUUCAAAAGUGAAAGACGGUCUUGCUGUCACUUAUAGAUGGAUCCGCGCUGCAUUAGCUAGUUGGUAAGGUAACGGCUUACCAAGGCAACGAUGCAUAGCCGACCUGAGAGGGUGAUCGGCCACACUGGAACUGAGGCACGGUCCAGACUCCUACGGGAGGCAACAGUAGGGAAUCUUCCGCAAUGGGCGAAAGCCUGACGGAGCAACGCCGCGUGAGUGAUGAAGGUCUUCGGAUCGUAAAACUCUGUUAUUAGGGAAGAACAUAUGUGUAAGUAACUGUGCACAUCUUGACGGUACCUAAUCAGAAAGCCACGGCUAACUACGUG